UGAUAACUAAGCACUACACCACACUGACUCUAAACUUCUUUCAUGGCUGAACAGCAUGUUUUUGAAGAUAUCAAAGGCAUAUUUUGACUUGUCUAAAAGAAAAUGGCACAUUCCAAGCCUUGGUGAGACUUUUCGAUAAGGACAGGAUCACUUGAUAAGGGAACAGACUACUUCCCCUUUUCCUCAUUAUCCUAAAGCUCAUAUGCUGCAAUGUUCCAAAGCAGCUUCUCAGUCCUCAGACAGAUUUUGAAGCAGGCUCCUCAUUGGCCCGUUCAAUUUUGAUGUUUUGGCGACAAUUUCACCCUGUAGUGCAGCUGGUCAGAAUCUCACUGGUUGGCCAAGCUUGUGAUUCAUGGCUGCCAGGGAUGGAGUCGGACUGCAAGGGGCUGCAAAGACUCUCCUCCCUGGAAGAGAGGGGAGUGGUUGUGGGCGGGAGCCCGAGCACCGCCCCUAGCAGGGGCGGUUGCCCCCUGCCUCCACCUCACCUGGCUGGCGCCCACGCCCCCUCUGCAGGCAUCCAACCAGGUGCCUCGGAGGGGGCGUGUUCAGCAGCCUUAUGCUGCGGUGCCAGCCUCUCCCUGGCCUCAUUCUUCGCCGUCGUCGUCGUCGAGCCUUAUUGGCUCGGGUGGCGGUUAGGCAUUGGAAUAAUGUGUUGUGGUGUGUCGAAGGGCUAGGUGUGGCCAUCGCCUAUGCCUUCAAUUUUUGGGUAUUCCGUUAAAGGAAUCUGGCGGUCGUGUGUUCUGUCCGAUGCCUGCUUGGCGGGAGGCCAUGGCACGACCCUCGGUGACAUCAGGGGAGCCUAUAGUUGGAUUAGCAUCAACAGGCUCCACCUACUGGUGAAUAAACCCACGUGUUUUAGAGAUCCAAUGCCUAAGCCAAUACCUUUUCACUGCUGUAAUCAAUAAAGUUGUGGCCUUUCCAUGCCCAUUAACCUUAUAUCACGUGUCCUUGUGUAUUCAUUUCACAUCGCGGGGGUCAGGUCCUCGAACCACAAACUCUGCCCAUCCAGAAAGGGGCAAGCGACCAUUGUAUCAUCAACAAUCCUGGAGUUGCAUCCAAUGCUCAUCAUACUAAUGGACCUAAGCUAAUGCUGUCCAUUAAACUCUCACUUUUGGUGAAUUCUAUUCACAUAAGGGUCACAGACUGAGGCUGUCAUGAAGCCACAUUUGAUUUCCUAAGGUAUCUGGCUUGAUUAAUGCCACAGCUCAUAUCCCUAGCUCAACCAGUUGUAGAAGGGAAAUACAGUGGUACCUCAGGUUACAUAUGCUUCAGGUUACACGCACUUCAGGUUACAGACUCCACUAACCCAGAAAUAUUACCUCGGGUUAAGAACUUUGCUUCAGGAUGAGAAUAGAAAUCAUGCUCCGGUGGCGCAGCAGCAGUAGGAGGCCCCAUUAGCUAAAGUGGUGCUUUAGGUUAAGAACAGUUUCAGGUUAAGAACGGACCUCCGGAACGAAUUAAGUACUUAACCCGAGAUACCACUGUAUAGGAAAUAUGAGUAUAUUUAAGGUAGGAGAGGCUGAGCCAGUUCAUACAGGAACUGAGCAGGAAGAGCAAACAGUCUCUCUGUGGAUUUUUGAGGGGAUAUUACUGUGACCUUUCAUGGACACUACUUAGCAUCAUAUGGGUGACUCCUGUGUUAUAUUAUUCACCAGAAUCUUUUACCUAGCAAAUAUGCAUAGAAUCCAUGUAAUAGCUUUUCAUGUUUAUCAGACACAGAAGCUAUUCACAACGGAUAUCAAGUCCUCUUCCCUGAUCAACUUUCUUGGCUUUUUCUUAUAUUUGUAGAAAGAUUUGGCAUAAGAAUGGUAUGGCAUGAGUGAAAAACAUUAUCCUAAAAAUGUUUCUAAAGGUCCCUUCAUAUGAAGCUGCAUCUAGCCUCAUCUGUUAGAUGACAUUUCGGGGGAAAUGUAUUUUUCUCUCCAAGGCCUUCCUGUGUGAAACAAUGAGAGCAUCUUCUCUACUGGGAGCCUCAAAUUUACAUGUUACUGCAUUCUCCAUUGCAAAGGGCUUUGGAGAAUCAUUAUAUUGAUAUUUCUCCUUCACAGUCAUAGUGUGCAAAGCACUCUUCACCAGUUGAUCAAACGCUAAACCAUUGUCCAGAAACUGCUAGAAGUAAAAGAUUGGGAAUAAAAUUACAGCUUCAAUUUCUUGACCAUAUUUUCAUUUAUUAUAAAGGGCAAAUGACCUGACCUCUUGAGAUUGCAUUUUUUUAUGAUAAAAUUGGGACAGUUCUUUUUUCACAUAACGAUCUGGUGAGUGCCUAAUACAAUGAAUAUCUUCAAGCACAUUUAUCAUCUACCUGAGGUUUGAACCUCUUUCCAGCUGCACUCUUAGCAAACUGUAGAUUAUCUGGCACUUAAAAUCCUCAACAAGUUACAGAUACUUUUAUUCUCACAAACACCUGACUCCAUAUUCUCCUGCCUACAAAAGGUGAAUAUGCUGUUAGCAAACUGGGCGAGAAAAUGUCAGUUUUAUCAUUUUUAUUCAGAACACCUCUCCUUUUAUUUAUGAACACUUUCUUCUGAAGUCAUUUGUGGACUUUAUUGCCUGUACAAGAUGUUGGGUUGUUUUAAGAUGACUCUGUAAAAACAGAAUAAUUGGGUUCGUUGUUUAUUGCCAUGCAAACGCUUUAGCACAAAAUAUGCUCUGUUUUCGGGGGGGUGGGGAGAGAGUAUAAGCCUUUGUGUAGAAUUUAGAGGAUUUCAACUAGCUCCCAAGGCCCAGCUGAAUGUCUUUGUCUUGCAUGUUGUGUGGCAAGGCCCACAGCUCAGAAAUACAUGCUUCACAAACAUAUGGUUCUAAGCUGCAACGCUAGUUCAAAGCAUCUUAGCUAGUCAGGCUGGUAAAAAAAUCUCCUCCUUGAAUCUUGAGCAACUGCUGCCACUAAUGGUACAUGGUAACUAGGCUAAUGGCUGGCUAUUUACCUAUAUCUAUAGAUAUAAACUUGCAUGCCAUAAACUUCAAGAUCCUUUUCAAGCUCUCCUAACUGUAAAUCCACUUCCUUUUUGGGCAGUGAGCACACCUAACAGUGUGUAUCCUGGUUCAAUUAAUUUAGAAUGGAAAUAAUAGGUAAGGGGUAAAAGUAAAGGACCCUUGGACGGUUAGGUCCAGUCAAAUUCGACUAUGGGGUGCAGCGCUCAUCUCAGGCCAAGGGAGCCGGCAUUUGUCCACAGACAGCUUUUCCGGCCAGCAAGACUAAACUGCUUCUGGUGCACGGAACACCAUGAUGAGUGCCAUAGCACAUGGAAACACUAUUUACCUUCCUACCUAUUUAUCUACUCACGUUGGUAUGCUUUCCUGCCAACUGCCAGGUUGGCAUGAGCUGGGACAAAACAACAGGAUCUCACCCCGUCACUGUCGGAAAUCAAGCCUAUAUAGGGAGUAACUGGCAACAUUCCCAGGCACCCGGCUUUGUCUCCUGUUGACCUCCCUGGCUGCAUUCCCAGCAAGAUCCAGGCUAGGUCGCGAUAGGCGAUUCUUCUCAGCGUGAGAAGAACACCCCCCCCCUCCUGCUCUCCCGGCAGGGAAAAGGAGAUGGACAGAAACGUUUUUACAUGCUUUUAUUUCUGUCUUUGAAGCAUAACAGAAAACAUGACUGCUCUCUUCAAGCUCCAGCAGUAGAGAGACAAACACCUCCUGUACUUCCUGUACAAGAGCAAGAGGAAGAGCUCAUAUUACACUCUGAGCUAAUUCCGGUGCAUUGCCCUGUGAGCUGACUGUCCCUCUGUUUCCCACGGACAGUCACAACAUUCCCAUCAUGUUUACUUUUCAAGCUAGCAGUUUGCAGCUGCAUUGCUUCUAUAUCGUAACAGUCACAAGGAUUUGUACUGCCAACCUUACAAUCAGCAAGCCCAAGCGGCUUGGUGGUUUAGACCACAGAACCACCUGUGUGCUAAUGUGGAAAUAAUAGUGACAACAGUACCACUUCCUUACCCUAUUUUGUUUUUGGGAAGAUAAAACACAUUCCACCAACCAAGCCCAAACAUUUUUCUAUAAUCUCCCACAACAUUCAGUUGCAUGAAAUUUAUAUCCAUAUUAAAUGCUUGGGGUGCAUCUAAUCUCUGUGCGCAGCCAAAAUUGCAAUAGGGAUGAUUCAGAUGAGAUUUUCACAUGCCUGAGUCAGACCGUUCCAGAUCAGGGGUUCUCUAAAGUCCUGAGUCACUCUUUGGACUUGGGUGUCAUUUGAAAUAAAGGGAUCGCUGCAUUUUUCUUUUUUAAAAAAAGCAAAGCCAAGUUGACUCGGAAAACAUUUUGAUCUGAGCAUCAUGGACAUGGAGGUGUAGGGGCAGUUUUCAUUUUGAUGGACAGGUCUAGGUUUUAAUCAAACUGAAUGAUUUUCCCAGAACACUUCAAUUGAUGUGAAUUGGGGGAGGGAUUUUGCAGUAACCUUGUUUAGCAUAUGUCCAUUCUUCCUUUUUGAGUUCUGUCUGGUAAAGAAUGGUGUUUAGAAGACCAGUGGGCUAUUGUCUUGUUUCCAAACAAUUGAAACCAGUACUUUAGUCUACUUGUCUCAGUUCAGCUGUUUCUGUCACCUCCCUAACCCUAUUUGCAUGUCAUUGUUAUUAGUGUGAAUCAGCUUUCCUAUACUUUCCUCUUCCCUUGGCUGAGUGGUAGUGCAUUUCAUCCAAUUUAGUUGUUUCUUAGAAAACAGAAAGAUAUUUGAAUAAAAAUAAACUGAGAUAAGAAUAGACAUUAAUGAUUCAUUAUUCAAUUUUUGUCUUCUGUUAUUUUUUCCUUAGGUUUGUGCAGCCUUUUAAGAGUCCUAACUACUGUGUGUUUAUUAAAAUGAAUGGAAAGAGUGCUACAGCAUUGUGGUAAGUGGUUUUUUUUUGGGGGGAUGAGUAUUUUUAAAAGUGGGGAGAGGGCUUACAACAUUUUCUAGAAGUAUUUUAAAUCAAAUUUCAGAAAUCCAGUAUAAUUAAGCUGUUAGACUAACGGGCUAAAUUUGAACCAUGUCUGAAUGUCCUUCAGCAACUCAUUAUUUAUUUUACAUUUUUACCUGAAAAUAAUAUAAUUUGUAGUUAGGAGAGGCAAGAAUUAUACAACUCUUUUGCUUAGUGAAUCUGUUAAUGCUCCUCAUGGUGCGCAGCAUUUUGCCCCCAACCCUUAAACGGCUGGAGACAUGGGACACACUGGCCUGGUGAUGCUGCCACAUUGCAGCUUGGCCAAUGAAGGAUAGACAUGUCCACUCUAAUUUAAGGCAAUGAGGCCUCAUCAAAUUUCCUGUAGCAGCAGCCUGACUACUUAACUGAAAGACUCUUUUUUUGCCUGUUCUGCUUUUCUGGGUAUUAAGGACUCAUUGAUUGCUACAUUUGGAUCAAACCAUGUACAGAUCACAACUGGCAGGUGCAGUGGAGUUGGGAGUAAAUGAAAGCAGAUGAGACUUUACUAAAAAUGAAUAAUCAUAAUAAUAAAAACCUAUGAAAUGGUGCUGUAAGAAAGCUUAUCCUAAGCAACCUUGUCACCCUAUAGAAUCUUGGAGUCCUGAAAUAGCAUCAAACAGGCUUAAAGCUAAUGACACUCCCUCUUCUUUUACAAUUAACCUUGACUUUAAUAUCAGUCUUUUUUGCCCUAGUCAUUCCUAGAGGAGUUCUCAUCAGCCUCAGCUAAUUUCAUAUAGUAGGUCCCAUCUCUUUCAGCAUCUCUUAGCCCAAGGAGAGUUGUUGAAAAUGAGGGUUUGUAGCUCUAAUCUUGGGAGCCAGUAGGAUAAUUAUUUAGCCUUAACUAGUUUAGUUGCAGAUAUGUAAGGAAAUAAAGAUAAGAUGGUUAAAGCUACCAAGUUAUUUCUGUCUUCAUUCAUGCGGUGUAGGGUCAAUGAGAAUUUAUCAUCUUUAACUAGUGGUUUUAUUCUCACUUGUUUGAAAUAAUCUCACUGCUUGUUUUAUUGCCUGAAAACUAUCUUUUUGAAACAUUGACCUAUUUAUAAAUCAAAUAAUGCUACAAGCACUGAGAUUAUCCAAUACACGUUCUUGCAGAAACCACUUAUUUCACUGCAGCUAGGAGCAUCUUAUUAUAGAGUUGGAAAAAAGAAUACUCAGCAUUUAACAAGCCUUAUAAAAUUAAAUAAGUCCUUAUGGGCAUGUAAUAAUUGCACCAUAUAUAUUAUUUGCUCAUAUUCUUACAGUAUUUUUGCAUAUAAAAGUUUAAUCAACGAAUGUGCUUAAUAUUAUUUUAUUACUAGCAAUUAACCAAAACAAUCAAUUUUAGAGAAGUGUCUACAAUACUUUAUGCUGAAUUCUAAUUAAACAGUUACAGUUCCAUUGCAUAACUUUAUGAGGCUAUAAUUUUGUUCCUAAGAAGAUAAACUAUGAAUACAGAGGACAAACAGACCAUCCUCAUGAGUGUUUUUAAAAGCUGACAUCCUAUAAAACAGUGAAGAUAAACCUCCAUCUAUUCUCUCUCUUCCUUUCUUUUUUUCUUUCUUCUCUCUCUCUCUCUCUCUCUCUCACACACACACACCAUCCAUUUUAUGUUGUUGCACACUGAAAGUAUUGAGUUGUCUAUUGUUUUCUCACUUGUCAACUGGCCAAUGCAAUCUUGCAGAACAGCAAAUUGUGACACAGCCCUUGCCAUUUGUGCAGUAGAAUUACCAUGGAACCAAAUUUAUUUGAAAAUCCAAAACCAGCAGCAGAUCAUUUUAAUAAUCAGCCUUUUGAAUAAGAGGCAGUGCAAGUCACUUCAUUUGAGGAUGAUGUUUGCUUAAACACAGAGAGAAAAUAAAUGCAGAUUAUAAUAAAUGUCAAAGCCAAUUCUUGGAAUCAAACUGAGGAUGAGGCCUGAAUGGAUCUGUGAAGAGUUCAGCAUGUGGUAAAGUGGUGAUGAAAUUGAUUUACCAUUGCUGAAAUGCCCUCCUCUGCAUUACUGCUAAAGGUACAUAAGGCAACUUCAAGUGUCACAAGGCUUCGCCAACGUCUCAUGAAAUGCCACCGCAGGCUUGGUGACAUCACAUGAGAAUUUGGCUUUUCUGCCCAUGACAUUUUGCUACCUGAAGCUGAUCUCAAAUGGCACUACACAUACAGGAGAACACUUUACAAGCCUUCCUGUGCCACACAGAUAUCAAUUUCUGCCUUAGGGAGCAAUCAUAUGCUGAAAAAGUUGGCAUAAAGCACACUGGUGUUAAGUUAAUGUUACACCAGAUCCAAAUGCCAUCUAGCAGCAGGGCAGCUGCUGUUGCUCUGUCUAAGCCUAACAGAGGGCAAAAAAACCUUUAGAAUAGUGUGCUAAGUUUCCAGUACACAUAACCAAACUGAACUUAGGAGCCAGCCUAAGUCUUCUUUUGUUUCACCCCCAUCAUGUCCACUUUGGUGUUUUUUUUGCACCAACCUGAAUUCAGCCUGUCUCAGCUCAGCUGCUUAAUCCCUGACUCAGUAAUUUACAUAAGUGUAUCUUCAGCUGUGCCAGGGUUUGGAGUUUAAUGAGCUGGGAAUCAGCAAGCUGAACUGGAGAUCCACUGUAUCCUAAGCUGCCCAGAUUUCGCCCACUAAAUUGACCACCACCAUUCCACAGGGCUGCCUGAAGUUGCUUCAUUCCCCUGGGUGACAAUGCGGACUCCAGUCUCACAAAGUACGUUUAGUGGACUUUAUUCAUAAUCAAAUGUGCACAGGUAUGCUCCUAAUUUGAGCAAUGAAGGUUGCCCAGUAAAAGGUUGUAACCUCACAUACUUUGCCUCAUUUCUAAACCCAUUUAGCUGAAUUCAGUGGAAUAGACUUCCAUGAGAGUAUUCUUAAUAACUCAGCUUUCAUCAGAAAGUGUCACUUUAAUCCAAGCUGUGAAGAAAACUGGAAUCUAUGAAAGGUGACAAUGACAGAAUUCUUCUGGGCUUUAGACUGAGCACUUUUACCUAGAUAUAUAAUAUUAUUCUAAACUUUGUACCAUGUGCAUUUCCCCCUAGAAUAUGACUGGUGAUAGCAUUAUUACUUUUCUCCAGUGGGCACUUUGGAAAGCAGAGCAUGUUAGUCAGUACAUGUUUACAUCAAAAAUAGGGUGACAAAUAUUCAUAUGAUACAACAUCAGUGCAAUCAUAGUUCAUCAGUCAUAACCAAUGAGGUUUGGAUCUGGACUUCAAAAUUAUAGUGAUAUGAAUCCUGCUGGGGAACCUUCUUAAAUUCACCAGAUUAUAAAGCCAUUUGAUUCCACGGCAGUCUAUUGAUAUCUUCUAUGGUAUACUAUUUGGUGUAGAUGGAUUGCACCACACUGAAGUGGGGAAAAUGAGACAUUUCUAAGAGAAGGAAGGCUCAAUCUUCUUAGAGCUUGAUUUAUACAGGUUGGCCGCCCAACCUGUAUAAUCUUAUAUAUGUAUAUAUAUAUAUAUAUGUGUGUGUGUGUGUGUGUGUGUGUCUUAAAAAUGGGAAAAGAUCAAUUUCUGCUUGCAGCUUUAAAUUUUCGGUUGGUUCUCUUUUCCAUUAUGUUGUUGAAUUCAGCAAUGAGAAAUUCUAGAAUAAAGAAUUAAUUCCCCUGAUGGAAAAAGCACACAUGCUUUUCGGCCAUGCCCAUGGCUUGCAUGCUUCUUUUGAAGAGAUUGGAUAGUGACAAUGAAAAGAGUACAGGAUGCAGCAUAAGUCCAUUCCUUCCCUAUGCUGCCCACAUUUCCACCCCAUUUCAGCUGGUCCUCUGUACAUCCUUGCUGCGUCAUAGCUCCACUGGCAGAAUCUCCACUGGUGUAUUUGUCAUGCUAGUGUGUCAGGGGCAGACAGUAGUGGGAAGGGGCCAGUGAUUUAUGGGGUUCUGAGGUGGGAAAAGAGAAAGAGGCUGGGCAUUCAGAGACGGGAGAAGAAGAGUAGGUGCAGAAGAGCUGCAGGAAGGUACAGAGGUGGAAGAGACAGUCCCUCACAGUUUCCAAUGGUGAGAAUAAGCUUAAAACAACAGGAGGAGUAGCUGGAGCUGACACACAGGAAAAGUUGCUGGUGGCUUGAACACACUGCAUCAGAAGAGGGGGUUUAAAUGUGCUGAUGGAGGCAUGGUCAUGCUGUUGCUCCAACUGUUGAGUCGGAGAAUACUGCAGAAGGAGAUGCCUAGCUAUUUAGCAGGAGCAGUGCAUGUGACUCUUGCACCUUAGGAGCUGAUGUCAUUGGGUGUCUUGCCAAUAAAGUGUUGGGAUACUGCCAGGGAGACAAAGUCCAUCAUGACUCUACGUCGCCUCCGGACGUCCAUCGAUCUCCCGUAGAUACAGUAUCAGCAAUUAGCAACACGAGCUCCCGGAAAUAGCUUGCCACAUUCCAGAGCUGAUGCACGCUCUAUCAGCAGAAUUCACACAGCGAAAGAUGCACUCAGGAGAGCAUAUUUACAACUUUAUUCAGCGUUGGACAGAACAAAGAAAACAUGACUGCCUGCUUCAGUGUCUCAGACACACAGAGAGAAACGAAAGCAAAAGACAAAACAUAAACUUCCUGUGAACAGGAAAUACACAGACUCUGUGACUCACAAAGCCUGCUCCCUUUUAAGGUGGAAUGGAAAUAUCCUAACAUCCUCCCCCUUUCCGUGUAACCUGUAGUACCUGUGGUUCAACCCAAUUGCAACCUCUGUACGUAAACCUUAAGUUGUUCUCUGUUAACAACCUUAGACAACAGAUCAGCAGGAAUUUCAUUUCCUGCCAUGUAGGACACCUGAAUGAGUCCUUUCUGAAUACACUCUCUUGCACGAUGUAGCUUAAUCUGCAAGUACUUGGUUCUUUGCUUGCAACUCUCUGAGUUCAGCAAAGCCAAACAGGAUCUAUUGUCUUGAUACACUUGUAUAGGACAUUUCACAGAAACUCUGAUGUCCUUAAACAGUUGCAUCAACCAUUCACAAUCCAUGAGUGAAAAUGACAGAGCAUUGAGUUCUGCUUCACAGGAACUUAGGCUUACUGUCGUCUGCUUCUUGCACAGCCAGUCAAACAGACAGUGGUUGUACAUGUAGCAUACUCCAGAAGUGCUUGUACCAUCCGUGGUGUCACUUCCAAAACUAGCAUCUGCAAAGAUUUCAAGACCUCCAGUCUUCUGACUGGUGAACCUCAGCCUGUAGUGCAAAGUCCCUUUCAAAUAGCGGGCUAUGCGCUUCAGAGCUUUCCAAUCCUGAACAGUAGGAUUGUUAGCAUGUCUGCUAAGCAGGUUAGUGCUUACAGCUAUGUCAGGUCUUGAGCAUCUAGCAAUGAAAUUCAACUUGCCUAGAAUGCAUCUGUACAGCGUAGUGUCAGAAAACGCUUCAGCAGUACUAUCUACCUGGUAACCUGUCACCAUCGGUGUGUCUGCUGGGUUUGCAUCAACCAAAUUCAACCUGGUUAAUACAUCAGCAAUUUUCUGUGUUUGGUGUACCAGAAAAUUACCUGCUUGGUCCCUCUCCACCUGCAGAGAAAGAUAGUUGGAUACCUCACCAAGAUCCUUCAUGUCAAAGUGCUCCUUCAGCUGAGCUAGGGUGCUUUGGUACAAAGCCUGAUUCUUCCAAAACAUCAGAAGAUCAUCAACAAAACAUAAACAAUACAGUUUGUUUUGCCCCUCCUCCUUGACAAACACACAUGGAUCAGCUUUGCCCUGGUGAAAACCUAGAGAAAGCAAUGUCUCAGUGAGUUUUGUGUUCCAACACCUGGCACUCUGCUUGAGACCAUAUAAGGAUUUCCGCAGUUUACAGACCAUUCCCUUCUGUAUCUGCAUUCCAUCAGGUGGAAGCAUAUACAGCUCCUCCCCCAAAAUCCCGUACAAAAAGUUGUAUUAAUGUCAUGAUGGGAAACAUGCAGUUUCUCCUCUGCAGCAAUCUUGAGCAUCAGCUGAAUGCUCUUAUAUUUGACGGUGGGUGAGUAGGUCUCGUGGUAAUCCUGUCCUGGUACCUGUGAAAAACCUCUGGCAACCAAUCUGGCUUUGUGUCUGACAACCUUGCCAUUCUGGUCUGUCUUGGCCUUGAAGACCCAUUUGCUGCCAACCAGUCUCAUUCCUGGGACUACCGGUACCAGUUCCCAAGUUUGGUUCCUGUUCAAGGAAUCAACUUCAGCCUUCAUGGCAUUAAGCCAAGGCUCAGCAUCUUUAGAGGUUAACUCCUGAACCUCUUUGAAGCUUGAAGGUUCCCACACCUUCUCUGAGCUACUAAGAACAGCAGUUGCCGUCUUAGCAAACUCAUCAGCAAAUCUCUUUGGAGGUUUGCCCUUCGUCGCCCUUUCAGAUCUGCGUACUAGACGCAAGUCUUCUGGACUCAUCUCCUCCUUCUUAGGAGAAAAGUGACCAAUGGUGAACAGUGGUUCUUCCAGUUCAUUGUCAGACGCAUCAGAUGGUCUGACUGAGGCCUUUGCGCUCUUGUAGUCUGCUGUGUCAUCACUGUCGCUGACACCAGCAGCAGCGCCGCCCACUGAGCUGGAAUCCGAACUCUGAUCAUCAUCAUCAUCAUCCUCAGCUUCCUCAGCAUUAUCUGCUUUCUUCACAUCACCUUCAUCCUCCUCUGAGUAACUCUGGAAAAUUCCCACAUUUUCCCCCCACUUAGGAUUGUAUUCAACACUCUUUGUGAACUUAAUGGAUUUAGAGUCAGUCAUCCAUACCCUGUAUGCUCCCUUUUCGUACCCCAUGAACAAACCAUGUGCCCCACGCUUCCCAAGCUUGUUGCUCUGUGGGGUGUGUACCCACAUGUCAGAACCAAAGAUUCUCAUGUGCUUGAUGUUGGGUUUCUUACCAAACAUCUUCUCAUAGGGAGUACAACCAAUAGGUGAUGACAGUCUCCUGUUAAAAGUGUAAACAAAAGUCGACAGAGCCUCCCCCCAAAACUUCUCAGAGAGAUUGGCAUCAUGCAAAAAGGUUUUUAGGCCUUGAAGCAAAGUCUGAUUUGCUCGCUCCGCAAGUCCAUUCAUCCAUGGCGAUCUAGGCGUUGACAAGUCAUGCUGGAUUCCCUUCUCAGUCAGGAAAGCUUCAAACUGCUGAGAAGUGAACUCCCCGCCCCGAUCAGUAAAGAGACAGCCGAUACGUUUACUGUGAACAUUCUCCAACCAAGCACAGAAUGCCUUGAACUUAGGAAACGCUUGCGAUUUCUGCUCGAGCAUAAACACAUGAAUGUACCUGGAAAAAGAAUCAAUUAGAACCAUGAAGUACCUUGCUCCACCCAAAGAGGGCGCAAGUGGACCAACCAGGUCUGCGUGGACUAGCUGGUAGGGUUUGGAAGCCUGCCUGCUAGACUCCUUGCCUUUUGGAGCAACCUUCACCUUGUUCUCUGCACAAGAUACACAUUUCAUGUGAAACUUACAGGGUUUGAUGUUCAAACCCUCAACCAACUCUGGCAUCUUGGCCAGUGCCUUCCAAGACAGGUGACAAAAUCUGCUGAUGUGCAUCAUGAAUGCAUCCUGCAUGAAGAACUUUGUUAGUUUGUGCAACACAACAAGAAUCAACAUUAGACACAACAGCACCAUUGUCAUCAUAAGUUAUACAGAAGAAUCCAUCUAUAAACUUUGCAUGCAAAAUGUCCUCUUUGCCUUUCCUGAUGACACAGACGCUCCUCUUGAAGGAAAUCUCAAAGCCACGCCCAGUCAGCUGUGGGACACUGAGCAAAUUGUCUGCAGCACCUGGAACAUAAAGUACAUCUUUGAUGGUAGUGUGCAGACUUGCCAGUUUCACAGUCCCUUCUCCUGCAAUUCGUAACGUCUUUCCGUCAGCCAGGUGGAUCUCACCAUCUUGAGGUUUGAAGGAGAUAAAGAGAUGCCGGUCUUUUGCCAGAUGGCGGGUGCAUCCAGAAUCAAUAAUAAAUCUGGCCUUGGCCUUUGGAGCAGCUUUUCCAGCAAGCAAAACCUUGUUUUCCACCGGCGUGGGCUUUUGCUGCUUGCCCCCCUGCUCCUGGCCAACAAACUUGCCUUUAGCCUUUGGUGAAGCUGUGCCAGCAAACAAAGCCUUGUUUUCCACUGGCGUGGGCUCUUCACCCCCCCCCUUCUGCUUCUGGCCAUCUGCAGGCAUUUGUCUCUGUUUACCUCUGGCCUUCCGGCCUCUGCAGAGCGAUGACCUUGGUUCCCACGAGAAACAGAGCUCUCAGCUGCCGACUCCUUGGCUCCCCUGGAGGUUGGAAUGCUGCCUGGGAUGACAUCACAGUCAGCUCCUCCUGCAGCUUGCAACCGGUGCCCUCGGCAUCCCUGCAUUCACUUGCAUUCUGGGAAACAGCCAGGACCUCCGAUGCAGUCAAACUCUGGGCUGGGAUGACUGGCAGAUGGGCUAUCUUCAAAGCAUUCCACAUCUGACGUGCAGUCAUGUUGCCAGCUAGCAUUUUAAUUUCCUCCAGAGAGACGGAUAAGACUAUUACGUCUAUGGCCUUUGAAUGUUGGGCCCUCCAUCUAUCUGUCAGAGGAACUGGAGGGGCCUCACACACAGUAUGCCACACUCCAAACUGUCGUAGUAAACUCUCACACCACACAGCCCAGGUCUUGUAAUUGUGCCAAUUUAGCUUUGGGCACUCAGCAGCUUCAGAAGCUUGUAAAAACUCCAUCUCAGCUAUUCACUUGAGCCGUGAGCCCUUAUUCACAUCAGAGACUCCUUAUCUUGGCAGCUCAUAAAUCUUGAGGCCUGCUUGGCUCGGCUUCCAGACCAAUUAGCCGAGCCGGACAUCAAAGAGACUCUGCCGCGGCAACGAAAAGCCUCGACUUUCGCUUUUCCUCCACAUACCUUCAGCAGUCCGUCGCAGUUUUACUCUCCUGUAAGUGCCGUGAAUCUGGUCCCAUAACCUGUUGUUGGGAUACUGCCAGGGAGACAAAGUCCAUCAUGACUCCACGUCGCCUCCGGACGUCCAUUGAUCUCCCGUAGAUACAGUAUCAGCAAUUAGCGACACGAGCUCCCGGAAAUAGCUUGCCACAUUCCAGAGCUGAUGCACGCUCUAUCAGCAGAAUUCACACAGCGAAAGAUGCACACAGGAGAGCAUUAUUUACAAGUUUAUUCAGCGUUGGACAGAACAAAGAAAACAUGACUGCCUGCUUCAGUGUCUCAGACACACAGAGAGAAACGAAAGCAAAAGACAAAACAUAAACUUCCUGUGAACAGGAAAUACACAGACUCUGUGACUCACAAAGCCUGCUCCCUUUUAAGGUGGAACGGAAAUAUCCUAACAUAAAGAACUAAGAUUUUAAUUGCAUGUCCUCCUUGGGGGGCUGGGUAUAUUUGGGGUAUAUUGCACUGUAGUUUGUUUUUUUCUUAAUCUGAUUGAAUAAAGUCGAUAUUAUGGAAAAACCUGAAGAGUUUCUUGCUACUAAUUUCCAAAGGAGGAAGAGUUAACCACUGCUUCAUGUCUUUGCUGUAAAAUUCUCUUUGAUGUAUUACAUAAAGAAAAAUCAUAUUACUUUACUUUUAUGGCUUUGAAUAUAUGGAAGAUAACUGGCACCCCUAAUUGUCUGUGUACUCCAAUCUUAUCUUCAGAUUUGACAUGUUAAAUGGUACAAAGCUCAAUUCAGAAGCUUAUCUUGGUAUUUAUGACUAAUGGCAUUUUCAGUGAACAAAAAAAGAUAGAGAGACUCCUGCUUCUAUCCAUUGCAGAAACAUACAAAUAGCAUAAUGCAGAAACAGAAGAAUCUGAAAUGUUCUGUAGAUGAAGUGAAAUUUAACUUGUUUUUAAAACACUCAAAAACGCCUGACUUCUUCCUGAUCCUCUCACUCUCUCUCUUUCCAGACUGUAUAUAAACAUGGAAAGAGCAGUUUUAAAUAGAAGCAACAUAUGUCCAAAUGACAGUUUUAUUCAUAAACGCUUUGGUUUGAGCUAGUUUUUCUUCCUCCAUAUGCUAGCUAGCAAUACCAGAAUUCUAAAUGUCAGUCAAUCAGUCCUCUUGUGGUUUUGAUCACUAAUAUUUGGCACUGUUAUUAUGAACGGUUAUUUUUCAAAUGUUUGUCAAAAUCAGGCAAUUUGUUUUAAGGUGAGUCAGAUACAAAAACUGACACUGUGCUAGCAAACUUGGAAUGCAUCAAAAUCAGCACCCUUUAAUAGGCCUCUGACUGUAUUACAAAUGAUUGAAAUUAGCACCUACACACAGGCAAUCAAUCAGAGCCUCACAGGCAACUCCAGGCCAGGGGCGUAGGAAAGGGGGGCGGGGUGGGUCGCCCCAGGUGCCAUCAUGUAGGGGGGUUACAAAUUAUCAAGGAACAAUUACUGCCCUACUAGGGCGAUUCAUAAAAAAACUCUUUUUUUGAAAAUGCCUGCUCCAAAGGCACUAGGGAUUAUAUAGCUAUAUAUGAAAUUUCAUGCAUAUCAGUUAAUAUUUUGACCCUCCUCCACAAAAAUAGCUAUGUACGUGACCAUUUUCCUAUGUCAUGAAGGCUGAAAUUUCAAUUCAGUGGAGCAGGGUCAAGAUAUUAACUGAUAUGCAUGCAGUGAUCAGACACUGGCUGAAAAACUCAGGAAAAUGCAUUGGGGGAGGAGUCUCCCUAAAUUCCAUGGCAGUGGUUUACAGAGUCAGUCCAUGUUGCUACUCUACCUUCUUUCUGUCCAGACUGUGAAGAGAAAUCUGUGGCCAACUGAAAAUAAACCUCUGAUCACUAGCGAGCGAACAAAUAUUAAAUAUGACUGAGGGCAAAAAUCAACCCUUUUCUUACGUUCUUCCUUCAGGAUGCUUUUAUCCUCUUUUUUCUCCAACUGGAGGAAAUGUGAUUAAAAGACGAGAUACUGAAAAAGAAUGCAUAACACAAUGAUAAACCAUGGAAAGCUGAACACUGAGAUGAACUUUAAAGAUUCUUACAUCCUUCCCCUCCCCUCCCCUCCCCAAUUAUAGUCAUCUUAAGUGUUCUUGGCAAUCUCUAAAGAUAAGAAACAUGACCUACUCAGCGUAAUGCUGGUUUUUGAGGUGAAAAUUGUUGCUUUUAUGUGCUGAUCUAUUUAAUUAACGUUCCUGGAUUAUACAAUGACAAGCAGGCUGCUGAUCCCUUAGAAAUUCAAAUGAGUAAUAUGAGCAAAAAUAGCACACCUGACUCAGAAAAAACACGCACCCAAACUGUUUUACAUACCAUCCAAGCCCAAACAGUCCUUGAAAAGCUGGCAGUUUCAGAUUUCAGAUAUUUUGGUAGACUAUUAGGCAGGAUAAAGAAUGGAAUAAUAAUGCUAAGAACAUGAAUCAUGGACACAGCUCCAGUGCUCCCUUCAACAAGGAUCUUUCAAAAUCUAUAAUUAAGUAAUUUAGUUCAGUGAAAAAAUCAGCACAGUUUUAGGCAAUAAUGCCAUUUCUUAAAUUAAGGGGAUGGUUUUCUUACAGAAAGAUCACAACUAUGAAUGGUGCACUCCUGCAUAUUUUUUCAAGGGGUGUGUGGGUGUGUGUGAGUGUGGGUGUGGUUCUAAACCAGAUUCUAGUUAUACUAAGGUCUCAAUGAACUCACUUAGACUUAAGUUAGUGAUGCAAUUAUUAAGCUAUUGAAUGAACAUUUUAGGUAUUUUAUACUACAGUCAUACCCCGUGUUGCAUUAGGUUCAUGUUGUGUCUUUUUGGCUUGCAAACACGUGUAUACUUCCAUGUUUUGCCACGUGCGUGUGCGCAGAAGUGUUCUGCGCACUUCGCACAUUCGCAGAAGUGCUCUAUUGCACUCCGCGCUUGCGCAGAAGCGCCACUCUAGUUGUGGACUUUUCGGGAUGCGAACGGCACCCCGGAACGGAUCGUGUCCACAGCUAGAGGUACCACUGUAUACAGAUUUUACCCUUUUUUUUUGUCCCAGCCAAUGUUGACAUAUAAAGUGAGAUAAAAUGCCACAGGAUAUUGUUUUUAUUCCUUCUUCCUCAUAACAAAAGUGACCCAGGGAAGCAGAUAUCUUCUGAUAUCAUACUCUUGGUUUGGUAUUGAGACAUUUUACUAUCAUGAGAUACACUGGAGUUUAGCUUGAGGUAUAAAAAUGCCCCCCUCAUCCAUUUGUUACUUAUUUUUAAUGGACCUGAACUACUGAUAAACAUUGGUAGUAAGUUCAGUUUCAUCAAUUAUCUCCUGCUCUUUGCCAUAAAAGAUGGAACUAAAACAACUUUAACAAUCAAAUCACAAGUUGAAAUGCAAAUAGAAAAUGCAAAAGCACAAUUACAAAAUGUAAAGGCAGCCUCGUACCUCAGGAACACAGUGUAUAAAUUAGCACAACUCUCUGGGAAAGGUAUUCAGCAAAGUUGGUGGCACUACUCAGAACAAACCAAACAAAAGCUCUUGAAAAGUUCAACUGUAAAAGUUCUUUUCAACACUGAAUAUAUCCUCUAAUGGGAAAGCUGGUUAUGCAAAUUAACUCUUAAGGAGAUCAGAAUCUUAUUCUUAUUUUUUUUUUUAAAAAAAGAGAGAGUGAAAAAUGCUAUAGAUUUAUUAUCCUAUAUACCACUACCAGACUCGUUAUCUGAAUGAAGAUACUUAUAUAGCCAAAAUGUCACCACACACACAUGGAAAGGAAUCAGCAGGCUUUCGUGAACCUAGAAGUUUGCAGAACAAAGUAAAAAUAAAGGGGAAACGUCCAAACUGCACAAUGAUGCCUGAGCAUGCACAGUGCUCAUGGAAUGUUGACUGUUUUUUGAGGAGUGGUGGUGGAAUGGAGAAUUCUUGAAAAGGGUAUGGCUGAGUGGCUGGCACAACUAGCUUUCAACACUCCAUUCGGUAACAUUUUGUUAUAGGUCCCACUUGUAGCUGGGAAACAUGCAUCCAUGCUGAACUUUUACAAAAUCAAUAUAUCAUUACAUGUGGCUCUGCUAUUUUCUGUGAACUUUCACAUUCUUAUCUGCACACCACUUAAACCCACAGGAAACUAUCCUGGAAAGUUUAGAUUAUGCUAUGGUACCUUGAUUUCUCCCACACUACCAUUUAGAAGAAUCACAUUUGCAAGAGUCCUGUGUACUUUAAUGUACAUUUAAAAGGAGAAAGCAGGAGAGAGAGAGAGAGAGAGCACAAACACAGAAGGAACAUUCUUCCUAAAGCAGUACAUUUCUUUACAAACACAAACAGAAAUCUUGGCCAAAGUUGUCAUCAUUGCUUAGUGUGUCUGUUUAAAGUUUGCGAGGAGUUAGACAGAUUCUGUAUAAUAAGUAAGUUUCCCACUUUGCUAACUCCUUAACCUAGAAAACAAUAAGGAAGAAAGCUUUGACAGUUUUUGGUGGGCAAGGCAACUUGCUUUAUUGGGGUCAUUGCAUUCCUUCUGUCUACAACUGUGAUGCCCAAUUCAAGGAAACAGUAAAUUGUUCUCUUGGGAAAACGACUUUUAAGUAUAUAUAGAGAUGGGAGAAGAUGGGGAGAGGUGAGGAAGAAUUUUUAUUAUUUGUUUCAAGGACUGGUAGGUGCGAGACCUGUCAGAAUGAUAUGGAGCCAACCUACAUGUACUGAAUUAAUUUCCAGUGCGCUGUUGUUCUUAGCUGUUUUUGCUUGAUAAGUCAACUUGCCCUGAAGUAUUUCUUUUUUCUUUAAUUUUAUUAUUUCCCAGUUUAAAAUAUUACCUAUAAUUUGUGCUUUUUUUCUCAUUAGGUCAGAACCAAGUUACUGAACAAUGUUCUUAGUCAAUGAGCAUGUGCAAACCUGGGGAAUUGCCCUUUAGUUCCAGAGGGGAGUGACACAUGCCCAAUGUGAUUGUUUGCCAUUGUUUACAGGGCAACAGAAACCAAGAGGUGAGAGCAGGGCUGGCCCAAGACAUUUUGGCACCAAAGGUAAACCACAAAAUGCCCCCACCAGAGAAGGAGGAGUGAAUGAAAAUAUAUACAGUCAUACCUUGGAUCUCAAAUGCCUUGGCUCCUGAACAAAUCGGCUCCUGAAAGAUCGAAAUCUGGAAGUAAAUGUUCUGGUUUUCAAACAUUCUUUUGGAAGCCGAACAUCUGACGGGGCUCCUGCUGCUUCCAAUUGGCUGCAGGAACUUCCUGCAGCCCAUCAGAAGCCACACUUUGGUUUCCGAACAUUUUGGAAGUUGAACAGAUUUCUGGAGCAGAUUCCUUUUGACUUCCAAGGUACGGCUGUUUAGGGAACAGGGGGUGGGUGUCAAAUCAACCUUACCUGACAACUGAAGUGGGAAUUAAAAGGUUGUUGCUUUUAAUUUUAACACAGGGGAGGUCACAUUCUGAAUCAUACUGGGCAGGCGCAGAACCCAGGAGAAGGCAACUUCUGCCAUUUCCUCCCUAGGGAUGGGAUGUUGCAGAGGAGGCAUGGGGAGACAGCCAAGGAGAUGGCAGAUCUGACUUCCAAGGAGCGCACCACAGCCACUGCUUUCACCAUAGCAGCAGCAGCAGUGGGUGAUGUAUUUGUUGGAGGCAGAAUCUGCUGCCCCCAAGGUGGUCGCCUCACCUUGCCACAUGGAUGGAUCAGCCCUGGCUGAGACCCAUAGGGUGGUGGCAUGGGGGCAGGGCCUCUCUUUAUGGAACUUCUCCAUCGCUGAGAUAGGAUUGCCCUCCCUACUGCUGAAGUUUUGAUGUUGCUUAAAAACACAUUAAUCUUGCCAGCACUUGGUGAUGCUGGUCAAGAUCAACAGGAAGAAUUUAUUGUUUUUGCUACUGUAUCUUUAAAAGUGGUUAUAAAUUUGUUGUCAUUUAAAUGUAUUUUUAUGAUAUUUGUAUGUUGUUAUGACAUUUGUAUAAUUUUUUUAAUUGCUGUUAGGCAUCCUGGGUCCUUCAAAGUGUUGGAAGUUAAUUUAGGAAUCUUAUUUCUAGUUUUAUCAUUGUAUUCUUGCUAUGGCUAUUGAUUUUACACUUCUUGAAAUCAGGAAAGAACAAAGCUGGGUACAAAAAUGUUUGAUAUAAAAUAAAUCUGAAGGAAAAAAGAGAAACAUAAAAGCAUAAAGGUUCACUGUACCAAAAGCACUGCAGUAAAACUAGCCCUGAAUAUUAAACAUUGCAUCAUAUUAAGCAUAGCACCAGUAGUCAUUGCAGUGAGAAAAGGGGCUGCUUUUUAUUUGUUUAAAAAAUGCCAUUUUAAAAUCAAGAAAUGAGGAAGAUAGAUUAUAAACAGGUCACCAGAUGAUGGACUGCCCCAGACUUGUCAUUUAUCAUUAAGGCAUAGGUAGCUGAAGAAAAGUAUCAAAAUGCAAAAGUUAACAGGAAAAAACAAAAAUCAAAAAUGGAUAAUAUAAAUAAAAAUGACUGUGAAUGGAAAUAAGCUGAAAGUAAAACCCAAGAGUCAUAAAAAGAUCUCAGAAUAAGUCUUAAAUUUUUUGAAUAAAAACCAUCUGAAUUUCAAAAUCAGAAUUUAUAUUUGAUUAAGUUUGCAUAUCUAUGCAAAUUGGGGGGAAAGUCUCCUUUAAAGUUUUAGACUCCUGAAUAAACAUUAACAGGAUUAGUCUACUUGGCUGCAAUCUAUAGUUGAACUGUAAAGAGCUGUGUUUUACUAAAACCUUUGCAGCAUCUUCUAUCUACAGAAUGACAGUUAUGCAUGGUGGUGUGACCUCCCAGAUUUUUCUUACAUCCUGUACCAGCUAUAUUUUGGCUUCGUCUGUUGUUGUAAUAAACUGGUGAUAUUUUGGUCUAUAAAUGCCUAUUGGUGGUUAGUACCCAUUGGCACUGGCAGGGCAGAAAUCAGGGAGUAGGUGAAAGCAGACCCAAUAACAAGCAGAGCGAACUAAGUCUAGUUUUGUCCUCCUCAUCCUCUCUACAACAUUAUUCAAGAACAGCCCUUUUUCUAAGCGGGGAAAGGAGUUUAUGGGUAGCUCCAUCUCCUGGACUGGAGAUAAGUAAGAAGGUAAGCAGGUGGGAGUUGGCAUUUUGAUGCUGGUGGCAUUCCCCCUAAUGAACAUAUGAAUAACCUAUGGAAUCAGGCCAGAGGUCCAUCUAGUUCAUCAUCCUUUUCUUACCAGAUGCCCAUGGGAAGCCCGCAAACAUGGCAUGAGUGCAACACCAUCCUACGCACCUCUGAUUCUCAGCAGCUUGUAUUCAGAGUCAUGCUGCAUAAUGGACCACCUUCCUCUGUGAACUUGUGGGAACAAACAAUAUUUAUAUCCAAAGGAAAAGAACGCAAACAAUAUGUAUCCAACAGGGAACAGACCCACUGAAAUCAACGGGCUUAAGUCUGGGACUGCUCUGCGCAUGACUUAGUUGGGUAUGGCCAAUUAUCACAAAAUUAAUACAGUGGUACCUCGGGUUACAGACGCUUCAGGUUACAGACUCCACUAACCCAGAAAUAGUACCUCGGGUUAAGAACUUUGCUUCAGGAUAAGAACAGAAAUCGCACGGCGGCAGUGGAAGGCCCCAUUAGCUAAAGUGGUGCUUCAGGUUAAGAAUGGACCUCUAGAAAGAAUUAAGUUCUUAACCCGAGGUACCACUGUAACCACUUUUAGCUAAUAAAUCUUUACCCAGCUAUGCUAAAUCAGUAAGGUGUCUCAGAAGGUUUCAAACCAAUUCACUUCAUUACAAUGAGGCAGUUGAAAUGUGCAGUAUUAACAAUCAAUAAUGUAAAGUAGCAGAAAACAUGUCAACGGCAUGCCAAACAACAGCUGAGCAGUUUGUCUCAUGUCACCCUUUAGAUCUAAGCUCUAAGGCAUCAUCCACCAACAAUUCCUCUGUCUCCUGCAAGGGGCCAGAAAAACCUGCAUGACCAUGAUUCUUCCCAUAACAUGCUCUGAAUGGAUCCAUGAUCUCUAGUCACCCUUAGUAAAUGAAGCAGCCUUGGUAAAUGUAGUCAGGCAGGGCUCAGCCAGCCAGCACAGGUGGAAAUGGGCCAGGCAGAAAAGCAAGAGGGAGGUUUUGCCACAAUAUGUGAUUAGGUUUCUGCCGCAACUGCAGUCUGAGGCGAUCCAUAAGAUUUGGGUGUCAAUUUCAUAGCUUAAUGCCACUUUUUGUUUUCCUUAUCUUGUUCUUCUCUUUUAUCCUCUCUAAUGGUCAGGAAGAAAUAACACAAUUAAAUGCAUAGAUUUAAGUUGUUUGGUCCCUUCUCCUUCUGGAAUCAAUAGAGCUAAAUCAGCAUAACUAGUUACAGAUGGGGCUGCCAGUCACCUUUUUUCCCCCAAAGAAAGUAAUCCAAUUUCAUGUUGCUGGGGCUCCCCCCCCCCCCAUUUCUUUAUGAGGACGUACUAACUUUUUAAAUUGAACUCCCAGAGUGAAUGGAUUUGAAUCAAAAGAGAUUAGCUCCUUCAUCUGGUAACAUAAAUUUUAAAAGCAACCAGGAGCCAAAAUGAACAGUGAACUUUGAAAAUCCUAAAGCAAUUGGAAAACGACAAACUAUUCCUGAAAAUGUAAGCUCCGCAAAGAUUUUCACUUCAACGGUCAAAACUACGUAGUGUAGUUCUCUGGAAAAUCUCUUUGGUGAACUGUGAGUGACACAAACAAUUCGUGAUAGAGGGUUUUUGUUUGUCGGCUUGCUUGCUUGCUUUUUGCCCCCAAAACUUAACAAGCUCUACUUUUUUAUUUUACUUUAUCUCUCUCCCUCUCCUUCUCUCUCUGUUGGAUGCAGUUCAGGAAGAUGCUGAAUCCAUCAGAAAAAAACUGAGUCAGAUGGCGGGUAUGAAGCAAAAAAGGUGAUCUUUUAAUCAUAUGGUACAUGGUGGAAAACACCGCCUGUGCAUUUUGCUCUGCUCGUUUCAUCUUCCAAUUAGCAGCUCUGCAAAAAAAUAAAAAUAAAAAUAAAAAAUCAGAUAUAACCUUGGCUAUUACAUAAUGCACUCUGCUUUACACUUUACUGAAGUGCUGAUGUUAUGCAGACUUCCCCACACACACCCUGGUCUCUCUGAAAAAUAAUAACAGGCAUUUAAAAUCGCAUUCUCAGGCUAGUCCCUGUCAGUAUUUCAGUUGAUGAAGGCCCUUGUCCCAUUUUGCUCAAUGAAUAAAAGCACUUGAAAGUGACUAGGUUGUACAUCAAGAUUUCUCAAAGGACAUCUAAAGGAUAAAAUGCACCAGAAAGUUACUGUGACAUGGUCUAAUUUUUUAUAUUUAGCAAGCAAUGGAAACUCUAUGAACAUUUGAAUAAAAAACCCUUAUUAAAGAUAAGAAGACAGCUGCUUCAGUACAGGGACUGACCUAGUUCAGCAUUCUGUUUUCAACAGUGGUCAGUUAGAUGCUUCCAGGAGCAGCAGCAUUCCUUACAACAGGUAUGAGAAAUGUUUAGCUCUCAUGAUGUUGCUACACCAUCAGCUCCAGCAACCAUAGCCAAUGGGCCAGGGAUCAUGGGAGCUGUAGUUUGACAACUUAUGCAUACCCUUCAACAUUUCUUUGAUGGAAAUAGGGAUGUCCCAUUCCAUAUUAAUAAUUUUUGCCAUUUAUACCCCACCCAUCUGACUGGAUUAUUUCAUCCACUCUGGGUAGCUUCCAACAUAUAUAAAAACAUAAAAAACUUCCCUAUACAUGGCUGCUUUCAGACAGUUCUGGGGUCAGAUAACUCCAUACCCUCCAACAUCCUCCAAUGAAAAGAGGGACUUCCUACCAUACCUUCCAACAUUUCUCUGAUGAAAAUAGGGGCACCCGAAGGAAAAGUGGGACAUUUCCAGAUCAAAUCAGAAACCAGGAUGGUUUGUGUAAAUCAGGGACUGUCUCUGGAAAAUAGCAACACUUGGAGGGUCUGACUUAUGGCAGGCCCAAAGUUGCCCACACCUGCCCUACAGGUAACAGGUAGCAGUCAGGAGACUACUUCUGCCUCUGAAGGCAUAAGGAGAGCGACUGGAUCAGGCCAAUGGUCUGUUCUGAUCAUCAUUCUGCUUCCAAUUAAAUAGGUAAUUUCUUUUUUAAAAAUAAAUAAAUAAAUAUGUAUACCGGUAAUUAAAUGUUGCCCCAAAUACGAAAUAUUAAACAAACAACAUAACAGAGUUUAUAUUUUAGUAGCUCUACAAGGAAAUAACUAAACAAUUACAAAAAGUUAAGCAAUUAAAUAAACCAAUUUGAAUCCUGUAACACUUUCUGCUGAAACCUGCCACCUUUCAAGUAACAAAUGCCUGGGUGAAAAAAUAUCCCAAUGCUGUCUAAAUGAUGCAACAGGAGGGGAACAUCUGCUUGGGUCUGAUGAACAAAGGGACAUUCACAAGAUACAUCUUCUCUGCAGCCUUGUUGCUCCCUUAACUGUUCUAGAAGGUUGUGGACCCUCCAGAGCAUCAUGAGAGGCAGUGCAGGGGCCUAUAGUGGGAAGGGCAGAUCAGAGGAAAUAUCACCUCAACUCAUGUGGUAACAUCUGCUGGAUCAAGAGCCCUUCCACAGAGAGCUAGUUACGGUCAAAGACAUUUUAUGCCCCUUGAGGCAUGAAGGGUUUCCCCACAUCCAGCCUCAUGAGGGUCAAGAUCUUAGUGAUACCUGCCUCACCUAGGCCAUCUGUUCUUUUUUAAGUAGUUGUUGAGAUCAUCUGUUGUUCUGAACCAUUUGCUCUGAGCUUCCAGAGCUGGGCAGGAUAUAUGCUGAAAAAUUCAUACAACCUCAUCCCUGAAUGUGCAAGACAAGAUGCAGAAACAAUACAAAACAGACUGCAGAACCCUGCUAUGUUUCUCACAUGCUCUCUGUUGGGCUGGCAGCAAGACCAGUGGAUAACGUUGUUUAAUGGCAAGCUUUAUUAUUCCAAACUGGUAGUUUUCAGACCUUUUGCAGCUGAUAUUAAAGAGCUCUGUUUAGCAAGCAGGUCACCUCUGUAAAAUCAGCUUCGUUUUCUUCUAAUCACCAUCAUGAUAAAAUGGAAGCUGAGGUGUAUUUCCAUGUUUUGGUCAUUGUAUGGAUCCUUUGUAGAUAGUCCUAAAUCAUUAAGAUGAGCCAAUUAGGUUAAUUAGCCAUCUUAGAGCUGUUAGCCAGCUGAUGUGAAAGUGCUUCACUAGAAGCUCAGCUAGAGAAGAAUGGAAACUCAAGGACUCCACAAGCUGAGCACCUGGAAUUAGAAUGAGAAAUUAAUGUGAGAUGUGGUUCAUUCUUUGGCAUCUCCAGUUAGGGCUGAGAAUGUCCCAAGUCUGAAAUUAUGGAGCGCCACUGCCAGUCAGCGCAGAUAAUACAAAGGUAGAUGGAUGAGUUGUCUGACUCAGCAUCCUAUUUUCCAUGUGUCUUCCUAUCUUUGUGGUGAUAAUCUGGUUCUACCAAUAGGUAGUAAUCUGAGUAAAUAGAUCUGGUGCUACGUGGGAGUCAAUGAAAACAUAGGCUGAAAAUUUACCAAGGGUUUUCUGCUGUGCAAUUUAAAGGGAUGGGGGAAGAAUGCUUACUUGCCCUUCCCUCAAUAGAUAAACAGCUGCAAUAAAAUUUGCAACCGUCUAAGUUCUUAUGCAUGCAAGCAGCUGACGUUACCACACUAUAAGUUAACACAGAGGUGUCCUAGGGCAUUAAAGGAAGAGUGCAAAUGGUUGAAAUAGCCAGAGUGUGGAGGAUUGAUUGUCAAUAUAGUUUUAUGUGCGUGAAAUGGAGUGGUCUUUAUUAGAAUAGCACAAGAAACAUCAAGCUGCAGUAAAAAUUAUCUUGACAACAUGGUUUGCCUCGUGCAGACUGUUAUCCAAUUCCCAAGGUUGUUUCAAUAGGCUCUAGGGAGUCUAAAAUUAAUUACUCCCAUUUCAUAUUUAACAGAGAGAAAAGAAAAGGAAGACUGGAAACAAGAGAAUCAUGUCCAAGGAAUAUGAAUGCAGAAAGCAAUAAUUAAACGGUUUGGCUUUCGUUUGACUCUGUACAGUAUAAUGCACUCACAUUCAAAAUAAUACAAGAGUUUCACAGUCAUCCUGGUGCCACUUAUAAAUGCUAUUUAUAGUGACAGUUAUAUAUAUAUAGCUUGAGAUUAAAAAAAAGAAAGCAUGUUUGGGAUAGUAGUGAUUACUGGUGCACACACAGCAUGGAUUUGGGUGCUGUGAUAUACGGUUCAUAAUUUCUAAAGCGUCCAUUCCUCCUCCUUCAAGGCAGAUGGAUUGCAGAGGUUAUGUGUACUUGUGCAGAUAUAUGAAUCACAUUAUAAUUGAUAUGUAAUAGGCAGCAGACAUGUAGCCUGUGCUCCACUGCAUAUACAGGAAUGCCAGUUUCAAUAAUGCUUGAACUGCCCCUAAGUUGCAAAUCAAAUUGCUUGUUGCUUCCAUACUUUUAGCUAACUUAAAAAGGUUAGGGGGAGUGAAAGUGAGUUUGGUUUGACAUUUGAAUAGAGACAUUUAAAUUCCAUGGCAGAGAACUAACCCAUUAGGUCAUUUUCUUUAUUCAAAGGGAUCUCUGACUAACACAGUUUGGGCUGAUAAUUGAGAACAGAAAUGUGAUUGUGUCCCAUCAAACCAGGCUUUAUAAUCAAGUAAAUAAUGCUCAGAAGUCAGCAGCAGGGAAUGAUACGAAAUGUCUAAUCCACUGAUAUGAUGAGUUCAGAUAUAAAUUUGGCAGCAGUCAUUUUGAAAAGGCAUAAAUAUAAUUAAGUUUGCCUUAAAAGAAAAUUGCAUCUACUUCCCAGUGUUAUGAGUACAGAGUCUGGAUGAUACAUGGGAAUGGUUGAAGUUUAGAGGUGUUCAAACUGAAGUGAAGUUCAGAGUCAUUUUCAGUAAAUCUAAAAGUUGUUCUGCAGGAUACUAGAGAUGCCAAACAGGAAAGAACGAAUCACGAUUUGUCAUAAUUACUGCAUAUUAUUAUUAUUAUUAUUAUUCCUUUUAUUUUUUCAAAAGUGCAUCAGGUGGCUUAGUGUCAUCUAAGCAUCCAAAUUUUAAGAAUCCUUCAAACAGCAGCAAAAUCUUUAUCUAGUGUAGAAUCAGAAGCAAAUUUUAAGGUUCUUAAACAGUUAAAACAUUUGAGAACCUCCAAAGGAAAUCAAAAUAAUUUUGAAAAGAGUGGCAAUUUUUCCCAAGGUAGGAUCAUACCUUCCUAGGUUGUGCAACACCCAUUGCACACCAGCCUGGAACCAUCUGGUACUAGCCAUGACUCCAGAUUCACUGUUCUCUGACCGCCAGUGCAAGGGCUGUUGUGCUAGCAUAAGAGCAAGAAUAAUGGCUGUGCCAUAUGAAAUCCAACAGCUGCACUAGUGGAAGUUUAUCAUGCAACAGGUUUCACAACAGGAAGUAUUGGAGCUUACAACAAUCUGUUGUACAACCAGUAAUGAGACCCAUGCUGACUUCCUGUGCCUUAUCUUGCACAAGCCAUUCUUCUAGCCCAACUAUGACACCACUAAAGGACUUUUGUUUAGUACUGCUUUGAAUUACUUCCAGGAUAUUUGAUUAUGGCUGUUUUGGUGAUCAUUUAUAGCUGUAAAGGUAAAGGUAAAGGUAAAGGUAAAGGGACCCCUGACCAUUAGGUCCAGUCAUGACCGACUCUGGGGUUGCAGCGCUCAACUCGCUUUACUGGCCGAGAGAUCCGACAUUCAGCUUCCAGGUCAUGUGGCCAGCAUGACUAAACCGCUUCUGGCGAACCAGAGCAGCGCACGGAAACGCCGUUUACCUUCCUGCCGGAGCGGUACCUAUUUAUCUACUUGCACUUUGAUAUGCUUUCAAACUGCUAGGUUGGCAGGAGCAGGGACCGAGCAAUGGGAGCUCACCCCGUCGCAGGGAUUCGAACUAGUGACCUUCUGAUCGGCAAGUCCUAGGCUCUGUGGUUUAACCCACAGCGUCACCCGCAUCCCUAUUUAUAGCUGUGCAUCCCCAUAAAUUCCAUUUAAAAUUAUAGAUGCUCGUUAAGGUUCUGGUGUGUGAUCAAAACAAGAAUCCCUGUGAGAUUGUACAAUUACUAUCAUACCCAGUUUAGACAUGGAAAAGUGUUAAUUCACAGAGAAACUGAUUCAAGGUUAUUCUAUUAAUUUACAAGGGCCUUAACAAAUUGGGUCCAGGAUACCUUAAGGACCAUCUGGAGGAGUCAUGCCUAGUGGUGCCUUGAAUGCACAGCUCACCUCUAUCAGGAGCCAUGUGCUCAAUUCUGGGCCCAAUUUUGUCAAACUUCCAGCUGAGAUCAGACAUGCCCUCCUCCCCCAAUUCCUGUUGAACUUCUGGUGCUGAGCAAAUACUUCCUUUAUUUAUGGUUUUAACUGAUUUUAUCAUUAUUAUGCUUAUUUAAAUCUUAUUGUACACCUCUUAGAGACUACUGUGUUAAGUAGUAUAUAAAAUGUUUAAAUAAAAUAAAAUGGAAGCUGAGAUAGAUAGAACCUCCCCAAGGCUGCCUGUUCCAUUCACUGGAUGAGCUCAUAUACUUGUGCACACACUAGGGGGAAUUAAGUCAAGCAGCUUUUAGCAUUACUGUAGGAGGCAUACCUUUUAUGCCUGCCAUGUGCUAUAACAUACUGAAAAAUGUAGCUGUGGUGUGUCUUCUAAAUACAGGCGUUAGCAUAAGCUGUAAAACUAUAAAAAAUAAGAAGAAACAUGUUUUUUCUCCAAUUAAUUUUUUUAAGUGUUUGAAAUUGCUAUGUGCAGCCAUGCAGAUGGAAGGGGAGAGAAGAUAAAUAUUGCACUACAGAUAGUUAAUCUCUAGCAGAAGCAUUUUAAUAAAUUGGAGUUAUGAAAAAAAUCAGUGCACAUCAAUUGGUUCCAACCAACUCUUGUUUAUCUUCCACCUCUGUCUGUGUUUGAUGGAUGUUGUUCAUGCUCUUUGGUUUACAGUAACAAACAGGUUUUUAAUUUUUCUAAACUCCAUCUCUCCAGUGCCAUUCUGUGAUGGAUGAUGUGACAAAAGGUUCUUCAGUGAAGUCUGAAUACUAAAUAAAUUAGCAGUAUUAGAAGUAGCGCAUCAUUCACCCCUGACUGCAUCCAGUCAUUGCUGCUUUUCUCCUCCUUUACUUGCUUAAUCUCUGGUGGUACAACUAUCUGCUCAGCACAUGACAACGGCCCAAUCCAUAUGCCCUAACAACAGAUGGUGUGUAUGGCAAAUAGGGCACAGAGUGUGCUUGCAAUGAGCAAGGAAAGCACUGACUGCUCUUCCAUAUGUUCAGAUCCCAAAGAAAACUGUGUACAAGCUACAUGCAAAAUAUCAUGAAGUUAAACCAUGUCUAUCUCAAUCAGAUCUCACUGUGGUGUGCUUCAUCUGCUGAUGAGAAAUAAAGAAAUUGGGCUGAAUCCAGUUUAAUCCAGUCUGAACUUUCUAAACAAUGGAUUAGUUGUUUGUCCUGUUCCUGGUUGCUGUUGAUAUUUUGAGACCAUAUAAAGUCUUACCAUUAAGUACUGGUUCAUAUAAGUAUUUCAUAGUUUUAUAUUAUUUAUCUCUACAUCAGUGACACAGGAUUUAUUAUGAAAUGUGUUGGGCCUAAUAAACCUUUUCCUGAGCUCUUUAAGGUCAUCUUGCUUUUUCUUCCUGUGAUUGGUGUUGUCAUAUAUGGAAUCUGUGUCUUACCAUUUGUUUCUCCUUCCCACUGAAAUCAAUGGGACAUGCUAGUAAUGAUUUAAGUCCCGGUGAUUUCAACUGGAAGUAAGCACAACUAAGUUUGUCUGGAUACACUUCUUCACUUUUAACCCUGGGCCUUAUAUUCCUCUCCACAGAGAUUUGUCAAUAUCUACCAGACCCAGGAGCAAGAAACAGUAUACCUUGUCCAAUGCUUUUUGCUGAAUAAGGGCUAUGGAAGAAAGAGAGCUAUAAAGAGGAUUACCAACAAACAAACCCUUACCCUGGAAAAUGAGGCAGAAAACAUGAGUGCACAACGGCUAAUCCAACAUAUCAGUCAGGCUUGUUGAGAGCAAGGAAGAACUACCACUAAUACAAAAUAAAUCAUCUGUGGCUCUCUACAGGUCAAGGUCUAUAACAAACAUCUGAG
This is a non-coding RNA of Podarcis lilfordi (Lilford's wall lizard), 29457 nucleotides long. The record is from the annotation of a GenBank genome assembly. NCBI's taxonomy places the organism in Eukaryota, Metazoa, Chordata, Lepidosauria, Squamata, Lacertidae.